Molecule: ribosomal RNA, 315 nt
Filed under: Trichoderma viride
Lineage: Eukaryota; Fungi; Ascomycota; Sordariomycetes; Hypocreales; Hypocreaceae
Description: eukaryotic LSU rRNA
Rfam family: Eukaryotic large subunit ribosomal RNA
Source: RNAcentral
AAGAAAAUAGUAACAACAGGGAUGCCCCAGUAACGGCGAGUGAAGCGGCAACAGCUCAAAUUUGAAAUCUGGCCCCUCGGGGUCCGAGUUGUAAUUUGUAGAGGAUGCUUUUGGUGAGGUGCCGCCCGAGUUCCCUGGAACGGGACGCCACAGAGGGUGAGAGCCCCGUCUGGCUGGCCACCGAGCCUCUGUAAAGCUCCUUCGACGAGUCGAGUAGUUUGGGAAUGCUGCUCAAAAUGGGAGGUAUAUGUCUUCUAAAGCUAAAUAUUGGCCAGAGACCGAUAGCGCACAAGUAGAGUGAUCGAAAGAUGAAAA